RNAcentral lists this transfer RNA (79 nucleotides) under Teredinibacter turnerae T7901. Its description in RNAcentral is "tRNA-Pro". It matches the Rfam family "tRNA". Rfam says of the family: Transfer RNA (tRNA) molecules are approximately 80 nucleotides in length. The record is from RNAcentral. Lineage: Bacteria; Pseudomonadati; Pseudomonadota; Gammaproteobacteria; Cellvibrionales; Cellvibrionaceae.
UCGGAGUGUAGCGCAGCCUGGUAGCGCACCACACUGGGGGUGUGGUGGUCGUCGGUUCAAAUCCGGCCACUCCGACCAA